AUCUGCAGCCAAACCACCCUGAACCCGCCCGAUCUCCUCUGAUGUCGGAAACUAAGCAGGGUCGGGCCUGGUUCGUACUUGGGUGGGAGACAAAAAUGGACUCCCAGUCUAGCGGCAGCUA
RNAcentral lists this ribosomal RNA (121 nucleotides) under Saimiri boliviensis boliviensis (Bolivian squirrel monkey). Lineage: Eukaryota; Metazoa; Chordata; Mammalia; Primates; Cebidae. The record is from RNAcentral.